RNAcentral lists this ribosomal RNA (548 nucleotides) under Megasphaera geminata. RNAcentral's name for it is "bacterial SSU rRNA". It matches the Rfam family "Bacterial small subunit ribosomal RNA", at positions 384 to 926 of the family's 1533-position model. Lineage: Bacteria; Bacillati; Bacillota; Negativicutes; Veillonellales; Veillonellaceae. The record is from RNAcentral.
UGACGGAGCAACGCCGCGUGAGUGAAGACGGCCUUCGGGUUGUAAAGCUCUGUUAUAGGGGACGAACGGCCGGGUAGCGAAGAGGUAGCCGGCAUGACGGUACCGUAAGAGAAAGCCACGGCUAACUACGUGCCAGCAGCCGCGGUAAUACGUAGGUGGCAAGCGUUGUCCGGAAUGAUUGGGCGUAAAGGGCGCGCAGGCGGCUGUGUAAGUCUGUCUAGAAAGUGCGGGGCUAAACCCCGUGAGAGGAUGGAAACUGGACAGCUGAGAGUGUCGGAGAGGAAAGCGGAAUUCCUAGUGUAGCGGUGAAAUGCGUAGAUAUUAGGAGGAACACCGGUGGCGAAAGCGGCUUUCUGGACGACAACUGACGCUGAGGCGCGAAAGCCAGGGAGCAAACGGGAUUAGAUACCCCGGUAGUCCUGGCCGUAAACGAUGGGUACUAGGUGUAGGAGGUAUCGACCCCUCCUGUGCCGGAGUAAACGCAAUAAGUACCCGCCUGGGGAGUACGGGCGCAAGGCUGAACUCAAAGGAAUUGACGGGGGCCGCAC